RNAcentral lists this ribosomal RNA (453 nucleotides) under uncultured bacterium. RNAcentral describes it as "bacterial SSU rRNA". It matches the Rfam family "Bacterial small subunit ribosomal RNA", at positions 340 to 786 of the family's 1533-position model. The record is from RNAcentral.
UACGGAAGGCAGCAGUGGGGAAUAUUGCACAAUGGGCGCAAGCCUGAUGCAGCCAUGCCGCGUGUAUGAAGAAGGCCUUCGGGUUGUAAAGUACUUUCAGUCGUGAGGAAGGUGUUAAGGUUAAUAACCUUAGCAAUUGACGUUAGCGACAGAAGAAGCACCGGCUAACUCCGUGCCAGCAGCCGCGGUAAUACGGAGGGUGCGAGCGUUAAUCGGAAUUACUGGGCUAAAGGGCACGCAGGCGGUUAAUUAAGUUGGAUGUGAAAUCCCCGGGCUUAACCUGGGAAUGGCAUUCAAGACUGGUUAGCUAGAGUCUUGUAGAGGGGGUAGAAUUCCAUGUGUAGCGGUGAAAUGCGUAGAGAUGUGGAGGAAUACCGGUGGCGAAGGCGGCCCCUGGGACAAAGACUGACGCUCAUGUGCGAAAGCGUGGGGAGCAAACGAGGAUUAGAUACC